This 479-nucleotide ribosomal RNA is filed under the name Paenibacillus sp. oral taxon E29. RNAcentral's name for it is "bacterial SSU rRNA". It matches the Rfam family "Bacterial small subunit ribosomal RNA", at positions 28 to 495 of the family's 1533-position model. The record is from RNAcentral. Lineage: Bacteria; Bacillati; Bacillota; Bacilli; Caryophanales; Paenibacillaceae.
GACGAACGCUGGCGGCGUGCCUAAUACAUGCAAGUCGAGCGGACUUCAUCCUUCGGGGUGAGGUUAGCGGCGGACGGGUGAGUAACACGUAGGCAACCUGCCCUCGAGACUGGGAUAACCUCCGGAAACGGAUGCUAAUACCAGAUACGCAGUCUUCCCUCCUGGGGAGAUCGGGAAAGACGGAGCAAUCUGUUACUCGGGGAUGGGCCUGCGGCGCAUUAGCUAGUUGGUGAGGUAACGGCUCACCAAGGCGACGAUGCGUAGCCGACCUGAGAGGGUGAUCGGCCACACUGGGACUGAGACACGGCCCAGACUCCUACGGGAGGCAGCAGUAGGGAAUCUUCCGCAAUGGACGAAAGUCUGACGGAGCAACGCCGCGUGAGUGAGGAAGGCCCUCGGGUCGUAAAGCUCUGUUGCCAGGGAAGAACGCUUGGGAGAGUAACUGCUCCCAAGGUGACGGACCUGAGAAGAAAGCCCCG